Haemorhous mexicanus (house finch) is the source of this 456-nucleotide long non-coding RNA. RefSeq lists it as uncharacterized. NCBI's taxonomy places the organism in Eukaryota, Metazoa, Chordata, Aves, Passeriformes, Fringillidae. The transcript has 3 exons. The record is from RefSeq and is a predicted model, not a curated record.
GGGGGGAGGGGAGGAGAUCCCGGAGUGUUUGGCCACGCCCACCUAGGGGGGAGGAGCCAAUGGGAGGAGGGAAGAGGGGGUGGGACCAAUCAGGGGCCGCGAACCCGAGCGGGGUCAAGGAAAGGUCAGCCAAGAUCAACCCAACCAAACCAAACCCAACCAAACCCAACCCAACCAAAGGUCAACCCAACCCAAGCAAAGGUCAACCAAGGUCAACCAAACCCAACCCAAGGUCAACCAAGGUCAACCCAACCCAAGGUCAACCAAACCCAACCCAAGGUCAACCAAACCCAACUGCAAGUCAACCCAACCCAACCCAACCCAACCAAAGGUCAACCAAGGUCAACCAAACCCAAGGUCAACCAAACCCAGCCAAAGGUCGACUAAGGUCAACCAAACCCAACCCAACUCAACCCAACUCAAGAUCAACCCAACCCAACUCAAGAUCAACCCAAC